RNAcentral lists this small RNA (543 nucleotides) under Pan troglodytes (chimpanzee). Its description in RNAcentral is "processed transcript". Lineage: Eukaryota; Metazoa; Chordata; Mammalia; Primates; Hominidae. The record is from RNAcentral.
AGAGUGAGACUCCGUCUCCAAACAAACAAACAAACAAACAAACAAUAGAAAAUCCAGUCUGGAUUGGUGGAGGGGAAAUUUUUACACAUGAUAUAAAAAGAUGGUUUUUGUUAUUGAGCUGGUAAUGCCGCUGUCAUCAAAUAUGAGGAGAAACCUCCAAAACCAGCAUUUCAGAAUGGUUCCUCAGGAUCCUUUUAUUUGAAGCCUUUGGUAUCCAGGGCUCAUGUUCACUUGCUGAAAACCCCUCCAAAAGGUCCUUCGAGAAAAAAUUUGUUUACAGCUCUUAAUGCAGUUGAAAAGAGCAGGCAAAAGAAUCCUCGAAGCUUAUGUAUCCAGACACAGACGGCUCCCGAUGCGCUGCCCCCUGAGAAAACACUUGAAUUGACGCAAUAUAAAACAAAAUGUGAAAACCAAAGUGGAUUUAUCCUGCAGCUCAAGCAGCUUCUUGCCUGUGGUAAUACCAAGUUUGAGGCAUUGACAGUUGUGAUUCAGCACCUGCUGUCUGAGCGGGAGGAAGCACUGAAACAACACAAAACCCUAUCU